This 75-nucleotide transfer RNA is filed under the name Caldilineaceae bacterium. RNAcentral describes it as "tRNA-Asp". It matches the Rfam family "tRNA". From Rfam's summary of the family: Transfer RNA (tRNA) molecules are approximately 80 nucleotides in length. Their secondary structure includes four short double-helical elements and three loops (D, anti-codon, and T loops). Lineage: Bacteria; Bacillati; Chloroflexota; Caldilineae; Caldilineales; Caldilineaceae. The record is from RNAcentral.
GCCUCCGUUGCCAAAUUGGUAGAGGCGCACACCCAUCAAGUGUGUCUAGUGUGGGUUCGAGUCCCACCGAAGGUC